RNAcentral lists this ribosomal RNA (453 nucleotides) under uncultured Thiobacillus sp. Its description in RNAcentral is "bacterial SSU rRNA". It matches the Rfam family "Bacterial small subunit ribosomal RNA", at positions 923 to 1382 of the family's 1533-position model. Lineage: Bacteria; Pseudomonadati; Pseudomonadota; Betaproteobacteria; Nitrosomonadales; Thiobacillaceae. The record is from RNAcentral.
GCACAAGCGGUGGAUGAUGUGGUUUAAUUCGAUGCAACGCGAAAACCUUACCUACCCUUGACAUGUCCGGAAUCCUGCAGAGAUGCGGGAGUGCCGAAAGGGAAUCGGAACACAGGUGCUGCAUGGCUGUCGUCAGCUCGUGUCGUGAGAUGUUGGGUUAAGUCCCGCAACGAGCGCAACCCUUAUCAUUAGUUGCUACGCAAGGGCACUCUAAUGAGACUGCCGGUGACAAACCGGAGGAAGGUGGGGAUGACGUCAAGUCCUCAUGGCCCUUAUGGGUAGGGCUUCACACGUCAUACAAUGGUCGGUACAGAGGGUUGCCAAGCCGCGAGGUGGAGCCAAUCCCAGAAAGCCGAUCGUAGUCCGGAUUGUUCUCUGCAACUCGAGAGCAUGAAGUCGGAAUCGCUAGUAAUCGCGGAUCAGCAUGUCGCGGUGAAUACGUUCCCGGGUCUU